AGAGGAUGGGUUUAGGGAAGCCUGCAAAGACUUAUAUGAACUGAGACAGAGUAAAGUGAGCAGAACCAAGAGAACAAUUUAUAAAAUGACAUGGCAUUGUAAAAACAAACAACUCAGAAAGACUUAGGAAGUGCUCAAUUCAAGGACAAACCACAAAUUUAAAGGCUUCAUGAUGAAACAAGAUCUGCAUUUCUAAAGAGGUAAGAAAAACUGAGGCUGAGAGGAGGUCUAUUCCAGGAAGAGAGAAUGGGCCACACAAAUAUCCAUUUGGGGGAUCAGUUACCAAUCCAGUUUAUUUGGAUCCUUGAUUCAAUGGAAGAAAAUAAUCUGAAACAAGGAUGGAUCAUAUAGAAACAUCAAUAUGAUUCUUGCUGAUGGAACUUUGUCACAAAUUUGAACAGUGGUGUUACAAAACAGACAGACAAGGGUGUGAAUCCAGAUGAGGUACCAAGCUGGAGCUCAAAGCUUUUUGAAUUUAUCCCCCAUCUCCCUCAUUUUACUUCCUUUUUCCCCCUCUGUAUACUUGACAUCAUUGUACAUAUAUUUUCUUAAGUGUAUUUGCUGUAUUUUGGGGAUGACAGAGUUUGGGUAUAAGUCAGAUUGGAUCUCCCUAGAUCUUAAAAAAUGGGGUAUUAUUAUAUUGAGGAAUUAGUAGAGAAAAGGCGAAGAGAAGAGAAAACAAAUAUUUCAUGAGUAAAUAGUACAGACUCAUCAAGUCAACCAGAUGUUCUUAGACCUUGUGUGUAUCUGGUGAAGCUUCUGAGUCCCUUAUCAGACCUAUGUUUUUAAAUGCACAAAAUAAUAUUCAUAUGAUUACAAAAGAGCUUACUCUGUUGAAAUAAUUAUCAGAAUAUUGUUUAAAGAUCAGAUUAAGAACUUCUAAUAAUAAAUAUUAGAACUCAUAUGGAUGCUGAGAAAUAUUUAUUCUAAACAAAUUGAAAAAGAACAUGAGGAACUAGCUUUGUUCUUUUUUUCCCCCUUCUAGCUCUAGAUAUGUUUCUUUUUCUUGUAUAUAUUAAG
Monodelphis domestica (gray short-tailed opossum) is the source of this 1020-nucleotide non-coding RNA. The record is from RefSeq and is a predicted model, not a curated record. NCBI's taxonomy places the organism in Eukaryota, Metazoa, Chordata, Mammalia, Didelphimorphia, Didelphidae.